UUUCACAGAGGGAUAGCCCAGAGAAAUUUGGAUUAAUACCUCAUAGCAUAGUAUUCUCGCAUGAGAUCACUAUUAAAGAUUUAUCGGUGAAAGAUGAGCAUGCGUCCCAUUAGUUAGUUGGUAAGGUAACGGCUUACCAAGACUACGAUGGGUAGGGGUCCUGAGAGGGAGAUCCCCCACACUGGUACUGAGACACGGACCAGACUCCUACGGGAGGCAGCAGUGAGGAAUAUUGGACAAUGGGCGCAAGCCUGAUCCAGCCAUGCCGCGUGCAGGAUGACGGUCCUAUGGAUUGUAAACUGCUUUUAUACAGGAAGAAACACCUCUACGUGUAGAGACUUGACGGUACUGUAAGAAUAAGGAUCGGCUAACUCCGUGCCAGCAGCCGCGGUAAUACGGAGGAUCCAAGCGUUAUCCGGAAUCAUUGGGUUUAAAGGGUCCGUAGGCGGUUUAGUAAGUCAGUGGUGAAAGCCCAUCGCUCAACGGUGGAACGGCCAUUGAUACUGCUAGACUUGAAUUAUUAGGAAGUAACUAGAAUAUGUAGUGUAGCGGUGAAAUGCUUAGAGAUUACAUGGAAUACCAAUUGCGAAGGCAGGUUACUACUAAUUGAUUGACGCUGAUGGACGAAAGCGUGGGUAGCGAACAGGAUUAGAUACCCUGGUAGUCCACGCCGUAAACGAUGGAUACUAGCUGUUGGGCGCAAGUUCAGUGGCUAAGCGAAAGUGAUAAGUAUCCCACCUGGGGAGACG
RNAcentral lists this ribosomal RNA (749 nucleotides) under uncultured Flavobacterium sp. RNAcentral describes it as "bacterial SSU rRNA". It matches the Rfam family "Bacterial small subunit ribosomal RNA", at positions 131 to 884 of the family's 1533-position model. The record is from RNAcentral. Lineage: Bacteria; Pseudomonadati; Bacteroidota; Flavobacteriia; Flavobacteriales; Flavobacteriaceae.